CCGGCGGGCUGGGAAGAUGGCGGCGCAAAGCCUGGCGGCCGCCGCAAACCUACCCCGGAGCGUCCGGGGCGCGCGGGCCGGGGCCGGGGCCGGGCCAUGAGCGCGCCGCCCUCUCGUGCCCGAGCCGCGGAGCCCGCCCGCGCCCCUCGCCAUGGCGCGGCUCGCGGACUACUUCGUGCUGGUGGCGUUCGGGCCGCACCCGCGCGGGAGUGGGGAAGGCCAGGGCCAGAUCCUGCAGCGCUUCCCGGAGAAGGACUGGGAGGACAACCCAUUCCCUCAGGGUAUCGAGCUGUUCUGCCAGCCCAGCGGGUGGCAGCUGUGUCCUGAGCGGAACCCGCCCACCUUCUUCGUCGCUGUCCUCACUGACAUCAACUCUGAGCGGCACUACUGUGCCUGCCUGACCUUCUGGGAGCCUGUGGAGCCCACGCAGGAAGGUCCGUGCGCCCAGGAUGGCGCCGAGCGGGAUGAGGAGGCCGAUGAGGGGGGCCCGGGGGCACUGCCCGCCCCGACGCCUGGCCCGCCCGGCCAGCUGUUUGCUCCAAAGACGCUGGUGUUGGUGUCACGGCUGGACCACGUGGAGGUGUUCAGGAACAGCCUCGGCCUCAUUUACACCAUCCACGUAGAGGGUCUGAACGUGGGCCUGGAGAACGUGGUCGGGAACCUGCUGACCUGCGUCAUCCCCUUGGCCGGGGGCUCGCAGAGAACCAUCUCUUUGGGCGCUGGGGACCGGCAGGUCAUUCAGACCCCGCUCAGCGACUCGCUGCCCAUCAGCCGCUGCAGCGUGGCCCUGUUGUUCCGCCAGCUGGGCAUCACCAACGUGCUGUCUCUGUUCUGCGCGGCGCUUACCGAGCACAAGGUGCUCUUCCUGUCUCGGAGCUACCAGCGGCUCUCGGAUGCCUGCCGGGGACUCCUGGCGCUGCUGUUCCCGCUCAGAUACAGCUUCACCUACGUGCCCAUCCUGCCGGCACAGCUCCUGGAGGUGCUCAGCACGCCCACGCCCUUCAUCAUCGGAGUCAACGCCGCCUUCCAGGCAGAGGCCCAGGAGCUGCUGGACGUGAUUGUUGCUGAUCUGGAUGGCGGGACGGUGACUGUCCCCGAGUGUGUACACAUUCCUCCCCUGCCUGAGCCACUGCAGAGUCAGACACACAGCAUCCUGAGCAUGGUCCUGGAUCCGGAGCUGGAGCUGGCUGAUCUUGCCUUCCCUCCACCUACGACGUCCAUUUCCUCCCUGAAGAUGCAGGACAAGGAGCUGCGCGCUGUCUUCCUGCGGCUCUUUGCUCAGCUCCUGCAAGGCUACCGUUGGUGUCUGCACACGGUCCGCAUCCACCCGGAGCCCGUCAUCCGCUUCCAUAAGGCAGCUUUCCUGGGUCAGCGCGGGCUGGUGGAGGAUGAUUUCCUGAUGAAGGUGCUGGAGGGCAUGGCCUUCGCAGGCUUCGUGUCAGAACGCGGGGUCCCCUACCGCCCGACGGACCUGUUUGAUGAGCUGGUGGCCCAUGAAGUCGUUCGGAUGCGGGCAGACGAGAACCACCCCCAGCGAGUUCUGCGUCACGUCAAGGAACUGGCCGAGCAGCUCUACAAGAACGAGAACCCGUACCCAGCUGUGGCUAUGCACAAGGUGCAGCGGCCGGGCGAGGCCAGCCACCUGCGGCGGGCACCCCGGCCCUUCCCCCGGCUGGACGAGGGCAUGGUGCAGUGGAUCGUGGAUCAGGCCGCCGCCAAGAUGCAGGGCGCGCCCCCAGCUGUGAAGGCUGAGAAGAGGACCACUGUGCCCUCAGGGCCGCCCAUGACGGCCAUCGUGGAGCGGAGUGGCGGGCUGCAUGGCAACAGCGCGCGCCGGCUGGAGGUGGUCCGGAACUGCAUCUCCUACGUGUUCGAGGGGAAGAUGCUGGAGGCCAAGAAGCUGCUCCCAGCUGUGCUGAGGGCCCUGAAGGGGCGCGCGGCCCGCCGCUGCCUUGCCCAGGAGCUGCACCUGCACGCGCAGCAGAGCCGGGCCGUCCUGGACCACCAGCAGUUCGACUUCGUGGUCCGCAUGAUGAACUGCUGUCUGCAGGACUGCACCUCCCUGGAUGAGCACGGCAUCGCAGCUGCCCUUGCUGCCCCUGGUCACUGCUUCUGCCGGAAGCUGAGCCCAAGGGUGACGCAGUUUGCCUACAGCUGCGUGCAGGAGCACAGUGGUCUGGAGCACACCGCAGUUCUGGGAGGCCAUGUUCUUAGCGGGGACGUGCAGACCACAUCCGGGCCCUUUACCUGGAGGCUGCCUGAGGACCGAGACUCCUUCUCGUGUGCAGGGGAGGCCCCCGUGCAGGACGAGCGCUCUGCCCUGGACGUGGCGUCUGAGCAGAGGCGCCUGGGCCCCACGCUGAGCCGGGAGAAGCAGCAGGGAGUUGGUGCAGAAGGAGGAGAGCACCGUCUUCAGCCAGGCAUCCACUACGCCAACCGCAUGAGCUACCUGCUUCUGCCCUGGACAGCAGCAAGAGCCCCUGCUUCGCGGACGCCCGGGCUGCGGCGAGCUCUCGAGAGCGCCAAGGCAACAGCGCUUGUCACCAACAGGUGGGGCUGGCCUGAGCGCGGGACGGCGGCGAGAGCUAUGACACAGAGAGCGGGCUUCGAGGACGCAGAGACCUGUGAUGUGCGCGGCUGCUGUGGUCCGCUUCAUUCAACCGCUUUGUGGACAAAGGUACUGCACAGAGAGUGGGUCGACCAGCGACCACCUCAAGGGCUGCAUGCUCAUGGUGCCAGAGCCGCUCUCCCCCAGACUCGUCCAGAUGCACAUUGAGACCCUGGAGGCGUGCACAGAGAGAGCAGAGGCUGCCCCCCAGUCCAGAAGCCCAAGCUGCUUCGGCCGCCUGCUGCCCGAGAGGAGUGUGUGCUGGACGGCCUUCGUGUCUACCUGUUGCCCGACGGGCGAGAGGAGGCGCGGGGGGCCGCGAGGCGGCGCCCCGCUGGCUGCGGCCGAAGGCGCCGUGGUUCCUCACCACAUACCGGGGUCAUCUUCACGCGGGAGCCCACCGACCCCUGGGUGAGCCUCGGGCUCUCAUUGGUGGUCCGCUCCUUCCCGGUGGCUGCGCUGACCAAGGAGAAGCGCAUCAGCGUCCAGACCCUGUGGACCAGCUCCUGCAGGACGGCUGCCAGCUGCGCUCCUGCGCACCUUCCCAGCUGCACAAGCUGCCGGUACCCCCCGACAUCGAGUAG
Capra hircus (goat) is the source of this 3192-nucleotide RNA transcript. It is a transcript of the gene named myotubularin-related protein 5-like, with no coding region annotated. The record is from RefSeq and is a predicted model, not a curated record. NCBI's taxonomy places the organism in Eukaryota, Metazoa, Chordata, Mammalia, Artiodactyla, Bovidae. The transcript has 24 exons.